RNAcentral lists this long non-coding RNA (3723 nucleotides) under Lactuca sativa (garden lettuce). RNAcentral's name for it is "long non-coding RNA (LSAT_LNC005959)". Lineage: Eukaryota; Viridiplantae; Streptophyta; Magnoliopsida; Asterales; Asteraceae. The record is from RNAcentral.
UAAGCUUGAAUCUUAAUCAAAUGAGGAUACUUCCAAGAGGUGUUGUGAUUUCUUUGUGGGCCUUUUUAUGUUAUCGCCCCUCUUCCUAUGUUUUGUAUAUGUGUGAUGUUCUCUCUAUUUUAAAUCUCUUUGGUUCUGAGUCCGGAUGGGGCUGGGUCCAAAACCGCACAUCCUUAAAGAGCACAGUUGUAGAAUCGAACUAGAACCGGAAAUGAGGUAUAUAAUCCUCUUUUCAAUUCUCCAUUUUCCACUAAAUUGGUUCUUGGUUUUCGGUUUUCGAUAUAGUUCAAUAUGGUUUCAGACCGAUGUCAUCCCUAAUGACGACAUAUAUAAUUAAUUGACAACUUUCUUUUCUAUUCAAAUUUUAUUUAAGUUUCAGUAAAUAUUAUAUAUAAAUUAAAUAUCUAACUAUUACUUGCUUGAUGUUACAAAAUAACCAUCAAUAACUCUCAAAUUGUUGUUGAAGUCAUUUGUCUCUUAGUUACACUCAAUAGGCUAAUAAACUUUUAUUUUUCUAUAUUCCGUUACACCAAUAGAGUAGAUUUCAACCUAUGUUUUCUAACAAAUAAAGAUAAAAUAUCUACAAGUUUGAUAAAAAAAAGAGGAGCGAUGAGAACAAAAAAUAGCGAGUAUGAGAAACAAUUUGCAAGAGCGGCGAGCAAUCAACAAACCAUGAUUAUGAAGCGACACACGCUCGUCCACAUAGAGAGUAUCAAUGUGAGUAGUGUCUCGAUGACGUGGAUAUAAACUUAACGACACAAUGGGGCCGAAGAAGAAAUGAUUGUGAAAGAGAAGAAAACAAAUAGUUCAUGAUAGGAAUGGAGUGAGGGUUUUGAGUUUUGAGUUUGAAAGAUUCAUAAUUUUUGGUUCUUUAGGAUGAUGGUUGAAGUCUAGAUAGUGAUUGAAUUUUUCGAUAUUUUAAAUAUUUCAACAUUUUCGUUUUUCUUUAAUUAUAUAUUAUUUAGUUAUAUAUUGGUAGAUAGUUUAACGAUUAUGAAAACGAGAGGCCUUUUAAAUGUUCUAUUGCUUGAGUUAAGGAUAGGCAUCCUUUUGAAAUAUUUAAAUGUUUUCACCAUUCCAAAAUUGUAAAACAAAGAAAUUUGGAUGGGACAUAAUAUAUCUUGCGGAAAAUAUAGUUUCUACAAUAAGCAUCUAUAGUAGGAUUAUAUUUAACUGUAAUAUAAAAAUGCAUUCCUUAAAAAGAUUAUCUUUUGGUUUCUAAAAGCAAAUAUGUCAAGAAAAAAAAAUCACAACUCCUACACGUUUUUAUAACUAUAGACGCAUGAAAACGAAUAUGUAAAAAAUAGUAAAUAAAAUUUUAAAAAUAAUAAUUAUUUAAAUACAGUUUUUUUGAAUACAUGCAUAAAAACGAAGAUAUAAAUCUUUUUAAAAAAUAAUUUUCUAAAGAAUACUAAUUUCUUAAAAAUAAUUUGAAAAAAAAACAAAGAUGUAGAAAAUAAUUUUUGUAGAAUAUAGAAAACGAAUUAAAAAAAAUAUAAUUUAUAAAAUCAGAGAAAUCUAAAAAAAACAUAUGUGAAACACAAAUAAAAGAAUAUUUGUGAAAAAUCAAAUUUUGUAAAGUUGUAACAAAAAAAACUUUUUUAAAAAGCCUAAAUUUUAGAAAACAUAUAAAAAGAAAGUUGUAAAAAAAACAAGUUUAGACCUAAUUUGUAAUAUAAAAAAAAAAAAGACAGGUCAAAGCGUAGAAUAAAAAAUGUAAGGACCAGAUUUUAGUAAAAGAUAAAAAUGUGGUUUAAAAAGUAAAAAACAAAAGUUAAGGCCUUAAGGGUGAGGUGGUUUAAGAUAAAUGGAAAUGUUUUAAAGAAAGAACCGUUAGAAAUCGGAAGUCGAAAGGGUUGGGUCGGUGUAUUCGCGCUUAAAAUAACCUUCUUCACUCGUCCCUCUGGCUUCUCUACAAACACCAUAGAUACAUGUUUCUUUGAAGAAGAGGGUUUUAUUUGGAGGUUCUUUUUCUUCUAUCGACACCACCGUUUCCUCUUUCUUUCAUUCCCCGACGUUCAACAAUCCUCUGCGUUUCCCUCUUCCUCUGUUAGGUAACGUUCUUGAUUUUUUUUUGUGUAUUUUAUUGAUUUCGUUUUGUUUUUGUUAGGUAUUUUGAAUUAGGCUAACAUCUUCAGGCCUCCCUUCAUCACUGUGAUGGAUUCAUCGGGCUAUUGGGUUGUACCUUUAUUCUUUGUAGUUGUAGUAUGACGUCUGGUCCGAUGUCAGUUUGGUUCACCAUCAUCAUCGAUCAAGAAAACGAGCACAUGUCUUUCUCCUCUGAUUUCUAGGCUGUGAGUUUAAUUGUCUCUUUUCUCCUCCGAUUUCUGGUUUUCUUUUUUCUUUCUAUUUCUCGUCCAUUUAUUUUUUGUUUUGUUGGUUUUUUGAAGCAGGCCACCUAAUAGAAAGCACCCAUCAAAUGAAGAUGAUUGGUCCAACAAUAGUUAAGUUUAAAUAGUCUUGAAACCCAAAAAAGUACUGUUUAGUUGUAGAUUCUUCUUCUGUGCACUUUAGGUGUUUGAUGAAAUGUCUUAAUGUUAUUGGAUUAAAUUAUUGAGCUAUUAGAGAUUCAAUCAGGGAAAGAAAAUUUAUUGUUUGUAGUUUUAACUCAAUUAGAAAUAGAAGUGUAUUUGGUUCUAACUAAGAGUUGCCUAUAAUUAAUAUACGUUAGGCUGAAGUGUUAAAUUUCCAUAUUUGAAACAGAUUUUGAUUGUCAUUGCUACAAAAAUAUAUGGACUUAUGUUUGUAAUUUUCUUACUGCAGGAUUUUUAGAGAUUGAAAAUUGAUUUUUUGGGGGCAUAAGGAAAGUAAGCUUGAAUCUUAAUCAAAUGAGGAAUACUUCCAAGAGGUGUUGUGAUUUUUUUAACAAUUUAUAUGCUGAGCUUUUUGUUUCAAGGCUACUACAAAGAUACGUUUUUAGUUCCAUUGAAUCUCAAAUAAGGGUGUUGGGUGAUUUCCGUCUUCUAUCCACUGAAUUACAAAAGAUAUGAGUCUGUAACUUUGUUUGUUUAUUUCCAGAAAUACCCCUCUGUUCCUAAAAACUUGUGCUUAUAUAUAUAUAUUAUCUGCAGGAAAUGAUGGGAUUAACUAACUUCAUGUUGAAUCAAUCAAAAACGAUGCUGAAUAUUGCAUAGAAACACCUUCAGUACUUAUUUAGUAUGCCUGGUAGAUCUUUACAUCAGGGAAGGAAAUGCCUCAUGGUGGAUUGAAAUGUUAAAAUCAAGUGGUCAAUAUAAAGAGGUGCUGAUGUAUACUUUCGUAUCUCUGAUGAGGUAAUAAUCAAUCCCUUUUGUGAAUAAAAAGUAUUAUAUAUGGGAUUUUUGUUAAAAAACUUCAUUUUUUUUUGUUGGAACCUCUUCAUUCAGCUGUGAUUAUUGUUGUUGUUACUUUUUAUUUUAGCCAAACGAAUUAUGUUAAGAAAGUAUGGAUUUCAUAUCAUUCUUUCUGGUGGUGAUCUGUACAAGAAAUGGGAUCAGGUAUUGCAAUUUUUGUUACCUUAUCAUAUAUCUUAAUACUUUAAUAGAAGAUAAUUUUGUUUUCCAAUUAGUACUUAAUAGAUAAUUUUCAUUAUCGAAUAUAUGAAAAUAACCAUACAUUUCAAAUUAUUUAAAAUGUGGUUUGUGACAGCUCAUUCUAUGAGGGUGAUGAUAAUCCAAAUGUGCAUGAUAUAUUGAUGACUUGCUCGUUCUACAAAUUUGAUCUUGGUUAUUGCCAGGUAACAUG